AUUGCUUCUCGGUCUUUUGGCUAAGAUCAAGUGUAAUAUCUGUUCUUAUCAAAGAUGAAGGUUUGAACAGUUGUAAUAAUCACAGUGGUUCUUUGUUCUAGACUAACCAUAUGCCAA
Molecule: small nuclear RNA, 117 nt
Filed under: Carlito syrichta (Philippine tarsier)
Lineage: Eukaryota; Metazoa; Chordata; Mammalia; Primates; Tarsiidae
Description: U2 spliceosomal RNA (ENSTSYG00000024059.2)
Rfam family: U2 spliceosomal RNA
About the family: U2 is a small nuclear RNA (snRNA) component of the spliceosome (involved in pre-mRNA splicing). Complementary binding between U2 snRNA (in an area lying towards the 5' end but 3' to hairpin I) and the branchpoint sequence (BPS) of the intron results the bulging out of an unpaired adenosine, on the BPS, which initiates a nucleophilic attack at the intronic 5' splice site, thus starting the first of two transesterification reactions that mediate splicing.
Source: RNAcentral